AGUGGGGAAUAUUGGACAAUGGGCGCAAGCCUGAUCCAGCCAUGCCGCGUGAGUGAUGAAGGUCUUAGGAUUGUAAAGCUCUUUCACCGGAGAAGAUAAUGACGGUAUCCGGAGAAGAAGCCCCGGCUAACUUCGUGCCAGCAGCCGCGGUAAUACGAAGGGGGCUAGCGUUGUUCGGAAUUACUGGGCGUAAAGCGCACGUAGGCGGAUAUUUAAGUCAGGGGUGAAAUCCCAGAGCUCAACUCUGGAACUGCCUUUGAUACUGGGUAUCUUGAGUAUGGAAGAGGUAAGUGGAAUUGCGAGUGUAGAGGUGAAAUUCGUAGAUAUUCGCAGGAACACCAGUGGCGAAGGCGGCUUACUGGUCCAUUACUGACGCUGAGGUGCGAAAGCGUGGGGAGCAAA
This 402-nucleotide ribosomal RNA is filed under the name uncultured Rhizobium sp. RNAcentral's name for it is "bacterial SSU rRNA". It matches the Rfam family "Bacterial small subunit ribosomal RNA", at positions 353 to 772 of the family's 1533-position model. The record is from RNAcentral. Lineage: Bacteria; Pseudomonadati; Pseudomonadota; Alphaproteobacteria; Hyphomicrobiales; Rhizobiaceae.